Hyaena hyaena (striped hyena) is the source of this 456-nucleotide long non-coding RNA. RefSeq lists it as uncharacterized. The transcript has 3 exons. Lineage: Eukaryota; Metazoa; Chordata; Mammalia; Carnivora; Hyaenidae. The record is from RefSeq and is a predicted model, not a curated record.
CUGACCAAAUGUGGCCUUGCUGUUUUCUUCCUAUAUUUCUGGAGAAGAUGCUUUCAUUUGCCCAGAGAGAAUUAGGCCUGGAGUUUAGGCCUGAAGUGGCGAGAUUCUCCCAUGGCAGACUCUACUUGGCAGUUAGAAUCUGAAUUUUUUACGAUGGAAGGACCCGAGAAAUGGUCUUGUUGGAUUCCUUCAUUUUCCAGCUAAGAAGACACAGUCCCAAAUCCCAGGGCGUGCCCCAAGCAGCCUUUGGAUCUCUUUCUAGAUUGGCUGUGCUCCUUCCCAUCACUGCCUUACACCUCAGUUCUGGGUGACACAGAUGCCAAAGCUUGGUGUAAGCAAAUGGUGGAGAUGGAGUUGUUUCCCCACCCUGGGAGAGUGCCAAUUAUGAAACCAAGUCCAAAUAGGAACGAGAUAAUAUACUCCAGUCCAAUCCACCCAUGGAAAAUCUCAGAAACC